GCUUCCGUAGCUCAGCGGUUUAGAGCAGCUGAUUCUUAAUCAGCGGGUCGAAGGUUCAAAUCCUUCCGGGGGCA
This 74-nucleotide transfer RNA is filed under the name Gordonia phage Yvonnetastic. It matches the Rfam family "tRNA". Rfam says of the family: Transfer RNA (tRNA) molecules are approximately 80 nucleotides in length. Their secondary structure includes four short double-helical elements and three loops (D, anti-codon, and T loops). Lineage: Duplodnaviria; Heunggongvirae; Uroviricota; Caudoviricetes. The record is from Rfam by way of RNAcentral.